This 391-nucleotide ribosomal RNA is filed under the name Demospongiae sp. GW26980. RNAcentral describes it as "partial 28S large subunit ribosomal RNA". Lineage: Eukaryota; Metazoa; Porifera; Demospongiae. The record is from RNAcentral. RNAcentral also lists the same sequence under 1 other name.
GCUCAGGGUGUCGAGGUUGUCGUGCUUCGUUAGAGUUCAGCUGAUGGUGGCCAGGUGACUGGUUGCUGUUGGUGCAUUCUGUAAUGGAGUUUGACCGUCAGUUGGGAAGACGAUGAGGUCUGUUCAUCGGCCGUCGGGAGGUAUGCCUUUCUGAGCCUUGUGCAAAGCUGGGUAACGUACAGCCUUCGGUCGUGGCCUUAUUUGUCUUUCAGGUGCGUUGGAUGUCUUUUCGUCCGUAAGUGGAAGGUGCAGCCUCCCCUUGUGGGGGGUCGGGGCCGCUUGACAGUUGCUGCUUGCCGAUACUGUGUGUUCCGUUUUCUCUCCGUUAUGUCUUCGGCUUGCGGAGUGGGAAACGGCACUAUUGUCGGUCGGUUGUCCUGUCAGUGUGCGU